RNAcentral lists this ribosomal RNA (497 nucleotides) under uncultured bacterium. RNAcentral describes it as "partial 16S ribosomal RNA". It matches the Rfam family "Bacterial small subunit ribosomal RNA", at positions 28 to 507 of the family's 1533-position model. The record is from RNAcentral.
GAUGAACGCUGGCGGCGUGCCUAAUACAUGCAAGUCGAGCGAACGGACGAGAAGCUUGCUUCUCUGAUGUUAGCGGCGGACGGGUGAGUAACACGUGGAUAACCUACCUAUAAGACUGGGAUAACUUCGGGAAACCGUAGCUAAUACCGGAUAAUAUUUUGAACCGCAUGGUUCAAAAGUGAAGGACGGUCUUGCUGUCACUUAUAGAUGGAUCCGCGCUGCAUUAGCUAGUUGGUAAGGUAACGGCUUACCAAGGCAACGAUGCAUAGCCGACCUGAGAGGGUGAUCGGCCACACUGGAACUGAGACACGGUCCAGACUCCUACGGGAGGCAGCGGUAGGGAAUCUUCCGCAAUGGGCGAAAGCCUGACGGAGCAACGCCGCGUGAGUGAUGAAGGUCUUCGGAUCGUAAAACUCUGUUAUUAGGGAAGAACAUAUGUGUAAGUAACUGUGCACAUCUUGACGGUACCUAAUCAGAAAGCCACGGCUAACUACGUG